This 402-nucleotide ribosomal RNA is filed under the name uncultured bacterium. RNAcentral describes it as "partial 16S ribosomal RNA". It matches the Rfam family "Bacterial small subunit ribosomal RNA", at positions 28 to 526 of the family's 1533-position model. The record is from RNAcentral.
GACGAACGCUGGCGGCGUGCCUAAUACAUGCAAGUCGAACGCAGUGGGGACGGGUGAGUAACACGUGGGUAACCUCCCAUCAGAGGGGAUAACACUUGGAAACAGGUGCUAAACCGAUACUGAUGGAUGGUCCCGCGGUGCAUUAGCUAGUUGGGUAGGUAACGGCACACCAAGGCCACGAUGCAUAGCCGGCCGAGGAGGGUGAUCGGCCACACUGGGACUGGUACACGACCCAGACUCCUACGGGGGGCAGCAGUAGGGAAUCUUCGGCAAUGGACGAAAGGCUGACCGAGCAACGCCGCGUGAGUGAAGAAGGUUUUCGGAUCGUAAAACUCUGUUGUUAGAGAAGCGGUAUCUAACCAGAAAGCCACGGCUAACUACGUGCCAGCAGCCGCGUAAUUC